UACGUAGGUCUCGAGCGUUAUCCGGAAUUACUGGGCGUAAAGCGUCUGUAGCCGGAUGUAUAAGUCUGUCUUUAAAUACUCUGAUUCAAUCGGAGAAAAGGGAUAGAUACUGUAUAUCUAGAGGAUUUUAGAGGUUAGUGGAAUUUCCGGUGGAGCGGUGAAAUGCGUUGAUAUCGGAAGGAAUGCCGAAAGCGAAAGCAGCUAACUAUAAAAUAUCUGACGGUCAGAGACGACAGCUUGGGGAGCGAACGGG
Molecule: ribosomal RNA, 253 nt
Filed under: uncultured bacterium
Lineage: Bacteria
Description: partial 16S ribosomal RNA
Rfam family: Bacterial small subunit ribosomal RNA
Source: RNAcentral